Non-coding RNA from Aegilops tauschii subsp. strangulata, 3991 nucleotides. NCBI's taxonomy places the organism in Eukaryota, Viridiplantae, Streptophyta, Magnoliopsida, Poales, Poaceae. The record is from RefSeq and is a predicted model, not a curated record.
CUAGCCGUAGAUCUGAGAUGGAACCAAGUUAUUACGGUGUAGAUUAAUUUUCGUCAAAAAGAAAACUUUCGGCCAGAUUAGUUCGGCUGAAAAGAAAAAACCAGAAAGCCCACCAUCUUUGAAGCCCAAGUAGAGGCCCAUAACUCUCUCACGGUAGUACUCUCUCAAUCUCUCAGCUCUCUCUUCCUCUCUCGUAUCUUUCUCUCCAAAACAGAUCAGGCCUCGCCCCCGUAGAUCUCCUUCCAUCCUUCCGUUCGCCGCCCUUCCCAACUGCAACAUCAUCCAGCUUCCCCGACCGCCGCCCUUCCUUGCCGCAUCUUAUCCACGUUGGAAUCGAUCCGAAAAACAAGGACCAGAUGAAUAUGUCCAUUGUGGUUGAUGGAGUGGAGGAGGUGUACCAUGUACCAUGACGGUUUGAAGCAGAUUGGAUGGCCGUCUCUGUCAACCCGGCUGCCUAGCAAACAACGAUGGAGAUUUGGUAGCAAAAUGGCUGAUGCAAGCUCUGCAAUUUUCUAAGGAAGAUUUGUGGUAAGUGCAUAUCUAAGUAAAUUGGGAUGGACUAAUAUUUGUUUAUCAUUUUUAUCAGUUUAUUAUAUAAAAGGCCCUGAUGCACAUAGUGGGCAGUCAUGUACAGCUGACAUAGUUGAUGUUUGAUAACAGUUGGUUCAAGGUAUGUGGCCUUUUUUCAUUUUUCCAGACCUAUCUAUUUUCUGAGUUCUGCUGAGCCGGUAAAGACAAUAGAUCGAGAUAUUUCGGUCCCUACGGAUUCUUUGUUAUUUGAGGACUAAGCAUUAAACAUGUUCCAGUUUCCAGCCCAUUACAUGUAGAUUAGUUAUUUAUUGAGUUACUAGAAAUUGUUUAAGGUUCCAAUUUAUUCUCAGUUAUGUUGUGAAGGGCUGCACAUGUGAAUUGACAUAGCAAACCACUUAUGUUGAUAUGCCUAAAGCAUGUACAUUUACUUUCCUAUUAUGAAAAAAAUUCAAUCAUCAAUUUACUGGGUCAAAGAAACCAUUCGAUAUAUCAGUUUUUGUUGGUGUUGAACGCAUACUAUACAAAGUUUUCCCAGCUUAUUAUAAUUUGGUACACUGUAGAUAUGGUGUGUGUAGUUUUUUUUGUUAAAUCUUCCACCAGAAAAUGUUAUUUCGGAAGGUUGGUGCUGACACCCAAUAAGAUCCUCCUAGAUCUGCCCUCUGUCGAGCACAUUACUUGGUGGAUAUGACGGGCAAACUUCAGUUUCAGGGAGAGUACAGUUUUGGCAUGUUGUUAUUCUUAUGAAGAAUAAUCUCCCCUUGCAGCUAACAUACAUAGGAUUGUUGGAUCAUCACAAGAUUUUCUUUAUGAGUAGGGACGUAACUUUAUUACCGUAAACUCAUCUACAAUCAUGCAUCGAUCCAUGGGUACACAUAUUAGAUGAAAAAACUGUUAUAGGCUCACUAUAUACGUGAACAAAUCUGGAGCCUAUGGAAUGUUGAAUGGUAAAGAGGGAUUUAUCGUUUCACUUUACUUGACACAUUAAUCCUUUGUCCCUGGCUUCUAAUUAUUGUGAAAGAAGGAUUAUUUAGCUUUUAGUCGGUGUCUAAUUAAACUAUUUUCCAAUACCUGAUGAAAAUGUUAAUUCAUCCAACAUUUCAGACUACUUUUGUGCGUGCUUCAUGUAGGUAUUUGUACCCAGCAAACAACCUAUGACCGAACAAUAUAUUUUAUGCUUUAUCUCGAUGGUACUCACUGAUACAAAUAUGGAAUUGAUGGAUAAGUAUAAUUAAUGGAUGCAUAGUUAGAUACUUGAUGAUGAAUAGACUGAAUAAAUAGAUGCAUACAUGAAUGAUUGGAUUCUCGGUGGAGAAGCCACAUAUGCCUCCCUGUGUCUUCUAGAUCAUCCCUGAAUCAGAGAUCGCACAAACUCUUGAUGUUCUCAGUUGGGCUCCCUGAUAUGGCUAAUGCAGUUUGCUUAGAUUUAAUAUUACAUGCUACCACAGGUUGUCUCCAGCGAGCUGAUUUGCUUUGUUUGUAGUGAAUUAGGCAUCUGCUCAAGUCUUGAAGAUGACUCUAGCACUAAAGUAUGUAAUGCAAAGUAUUAGGAAAUACAACAGCUUUUAAGAUAUUCACCAUGAUGCAAAUUUUGUUCUUUGAUCUUCUCUGUCAGUGAACUGAUCGCUACUUGCAGGAAAAGGUGUCGGCCGGCAGGGGUAAUAGUGCAUCAAUGAAGGUCAGAACAGGUCUGGAACAUGAUUAGCAAACUUACAGGUUCGUUCACGGGCAGACUACGAGGGCUUUCUUAACAUUAAUUGGAUCUGGAAAAAAACUGUUGAGGGGUUUCCGUAUGCCAAUAUCACCAAAAGUGCGAGUUCAGGGAGAAAAUUUCUUCUUUCUACUUGAUCAAGUAUACCUCCAUGUUGAUAGACCACUCAAUAUUUUUUUUAGCGUCUCUAGAUUAUAAUAUGGUUGUCUGUGACCAAAGAACUACUGCAAAGCAUACAUAAGUGGUAUUGUAGCUCAGAGCAAAGAAAAAUUGGAAAUGCUAUUUGGAUAGGAAAAAGUUUAUAGCUUAGAUGAUACUAAUUCCACCUCCAGUAUGAUCGUAUUUCUCGAUAAGAUAUGGCCAUACGAUGUCAAAUAGCACUCAAUUUUCCCAUGUAUGUUAGAUGAAACGCACAAGGAAAAAAGUCAUGGACUCACUUGCAGGCGCCUAAUGUGUCCUUUUGUUAAGUAGCAAUGCAUGCUUCAGCUUAUAAUCUAUUCAAUAAAUUUGAUGGUCUUAUCUCAUAUUUUUAGUUAUUCUACAAUGUCAAAGUUGACAUUAGGGAUCACGCCCUCAUGUUCUUAUAGGAAUAACCUCUUGCUAACAUUCUGAGACAUGACUGUAUUUAGUCUCUCUUCAAAUAUGCUUGAGUUGAUACAUUUUCUGUCCUCCUAAUUCUGUUUCCUCACCUGAAUCAAAUGUAAGUUGGUCAUACCUAGCCAUGAGGAACAAAUUUCUUUUUCUGUUCUCCAUAACUACUGUUGAAUAAAUUGGCCGGUCAAUGCAAUGGCAGUGGCAGGAAACAUCAGCACCACACUGCAAAUCUUGAAAAAACAAAUGGUACACAUACGAUGCUUUGCUAACGGAUGGUGGUAGGACACAAAUGUGGACCAUACAGGUUGAAAACAAGAGAGAUACUAAUAUACUAUGUCAUUGGUCGUAUUUUUCUAUGAGAAAGCCAUUGGUCGUACUAGGAUAGGACAAUAUGUGUAGCAUCACUCAACUAGCGUAGUAGUGAGUCCAUUUAUAGGCUAUUGCUAGGAAAAGUUUUACUUCAGGAGGAGUCGCCUGUUGGUACACUUAUUUAUACGACAACUUGAAGUUAGAUUGUUUUCCUUGGAGUUAUAAAGCAAGGUAAUAUUAUCUCACAUAUUUUAAUUACAUGCAUGAUUUUUAUUUCUCCUUCUAACUAAAAAACAACACGUAAUCUUGGUUCAUGUUGAAAAGAACGAAAAAUGUUUCUAAAAUGUUUUCGAUUCACCUAUAUUUUUCUUUGCAUAAUUCAUUAUAUUAAUCUUGGCCCACUCAAUUUUUAUUUCUUGCUGAUAUAUAAUCAAUAUUUCAUAUUUUGUAAAGUGAUGUAGAUCACAUGACACCAGGGAACCAAAGCAAUGCAUGUGGACUGUAUAAACAUCUGAAUAUUUUAUCGCACUUCCACUUGAUUUCUGAGAUUGGGCAAAUAAUCAAGUGGCCGCUACUGGGCGAUUCUCUUUUAGUGUGUACAAUCUUUCAACAAUUCAGCAUGGAGAAUUCCUAAUGAGUAUACGAAGAAAUCAUGUGUUUCUCAAUAUAACAGCAUGGCAGACACUGAUGGACUCGAGUUUAUUUAGUUGCUUGACAGUAUGGCAUGAUUACAAACAUCACGCUGCUCUGUGGUUCAGUAAUUGUACACUAUAUUUAAGAAAGUAUUGUCAGCAGUUUUGUUUGUAAACAUCCGAAUAUCAUUUGUUUCCACAAUUGAAGCAUUAGUAA